RNAcentral lists this ribosomal RNA (911 nucleotides) under Quadricrura meridionalis. RNAcentral's name for it is "LSU rRNA". It matches the Rfam family "Eukaryotic large subunit ribosomal RNA", at positions 35 to 964 of the family's 3401-position model. The record is from RNAcentral. Lineage: Eukaryota; Fungi; Ascomycota; Dothideomycetes; Pleosporales; Tetraplosphaeriaceae.
UAAGCAUAUCAAUAAGCGGAGGAAAAGAAACCAACAGGGAUUGCCCUAGUAACGGCGAGUGAAGCGGCAACAGCUCAAAUUUGAAAUCUGGCUCCUUUGGGGCCCGAGUUGUAAUUUGUAGAGGGUGCUUUGGCGUUGGCUCCGGCCUAAGUUCCUUGGAACAGGACGUCACAGAGGGUGAGAAUCCCGUACGUGGCCGGCUGCCUUCGCCGUGUAAAGCCCCUUCGACGAGUCGAGUUGUUUGGGAAUGCAGCUCUAAAUGGGAGGUAAAUUUCUUCUAAAGCUAAAUACUGGCCAGAGACCGAUAGCGCACAAGUAGAGUGAUCGAAAGAUGAAAAGCACUUUGGAAAGAGAGUCAAAAAGCACGUGAAAUUGUUGAAAGGGAAGCGCUUGCAGCCAGACUUGCCUGUAGUUGCUCAUCCGGGCUCCUGCCCGGUGCACUCUUCUAUAGGCAGGCCAGCAUCAGUUUGGGCGGCCGGAUAAAGGCCUCGGGAACGUAGCUCUCUUCGGGGAGUGUUAUAGCCCGGGGCGUCAUGCGGCCAGCCUGGACUGAGGUCCGCGCAUCUGCUAGGAUGCUGGCGUAAUGGCUGUAAGCGGCCCGUCUUGAAACACGGACCAAGGAGUCUAACAUCUAUGCGAGUGUUUGGGUGUCAAGCCCGGGCGCGUAAUGAAAGUGAACGGAGGUGGGAACCCCCCGGGGUGCACCAUCGACCGAUCCUGAUGUCUUCGGAUGGAUUUGAGUAAGAGCAUAGCUGUUGGGACCCGAAAGAUGGUGAACUAUGCCUGAAUAGGGUGAAGCCAGAGGAAACUCUGGUGGAGGCUCGCAGCGGUUCUGACGUGCAAAUCGAUUGUCAAAUUUGGGCAUAGGGGCGAAAGACUAAUCGAACUAUCUAGUAGCUGGUUCCUGCCGA